Molecule: unclassified non-coding RNA, 3129 nt
Filed under: Hevea brasiliensis (rubber tree)
Lineage: Eukaryota; Viridiplantae; Streptophyta; Magnoliopsida; Malpighiales; Euphorbiaceae
Source: RNAcentral
AUUUUUAAAGUUAAUGCUGAAAAUGAACUCCUUCCAAGUUUACAGCAAUUACAACACAUAUCUACAAUAGUUUAAAACAGCAGGGCAAAUGAGACCUAAAGCAUGCAGUGAGACAAUAGCAUACAAUUCUCUUUGUAUGCAGUCAUAACGAGAAUUAUCCAUCAUACCUUCAAGGAUGGAGUCAUUUGUUUCUAACUUCCAUAAUUCCAAGUGAAAUGUGAUAUACGGUUGAAAGGAAGAUUUUGAUCUAUCAGUCUUCGCACAACUCUGAUUUAUGCAUAAUACCAUAAUCUGCCACAUAUUUUUUGUUUGCUUAGUCCUGUUUGUUUAAACACGAGGGUCUUAGGCAUUCGAUUCUCUACCCAGUCAGCAACAUCUGAAUAUCUUCAUACUGCACCGAUACACCUUUGAAAACUACUCUAACAAUAAAUCAGCUCCAAGCCUCCAACAGCUUCAGAGACUUUACCACCAGUACUUUUGUCAUUAAUAUGAACCAAACAAGCAUAUAUCCUUUUUCGACGAAUUUUAUACAUGAUACCAGCUCUGAGAUGCCUAGAUUCCAAAAUGUAUAUGCUUGAUACAAAAGCAACUAGGAUAUUCUCACAUACGUUACUCGAAGAGGUCCAGAAUCAUAGUCCGUGACUUUCCACAAUUGUAGAUCCCUUUAAUCAAUAAUCAAUAACCGGGCAACGACGAAAUAGCCCAAAAUAUGAAGCACCCACCACCCAUGUAUAGCAAGCAAUCUCUCGCUUAAGAUAUUCCAUAAUCCCAGCCAAACUCCAAUCCCUCAGAAGGUUUUUCUUAUCCAACAUAAGCUCCCGUCACAGUGCUUUGUGAUUUCCCGGGAAAAAGAUAAAACAGCCAAACUAUAACUAUAUCUACUACAGAACAAUCUACUUAAACCAUAAAUACAGCAACUUAACCUAUUGAGACCCUUUAAGAGGAGAUAUGUACUAGAUUGAUUUAUUACCAGUUCAGUCGGUAAGCUCAUGAAGGAACUGAUAAGAAAUACCUAUAAGCCAUCUCUCCCUGUCCAUAACCAGAUCUCGCAGAUCUUAUGUAGCAGCUACCACCCCUGAAUCGGGGACGAUCUCUGCGAGAGUAAACUUAAUUGGUUGCCAUCCGGAUUGAGGUUGUACAAGCCAUUUCUUCAUGUUAACAACCAUGUGCAAGAUCUGAAGUAUUUCGCCUAAAGCAAGCUCCUUUAAGCACAUUUUCUUAAUAACUGUUGCUGCUUCAAACCUGCACUGAGUAGCGCUUAUGGCGGCUCGUCCGGCAGAAGAUGAUAGAAAUUUCUGGAGGUCAUCCCAUGCUUCUUUGGGAUAUUGUUUCAUAUUACCACCAAUGGGAUUCACACACCUCCAUAGGUUCUCAUUUUUACCAACAUAUAAUUGCAAAGCACCUAAAUUCCGUGUUACUACCAGCUGUUGUUCAACUGCACUCGCGAGAGCCUUCUUAACAUCAGUAUUGCGGUGUUUUGGAUCUCCAUAUUUGAUGCAAUCAGAGAUGUUUGCUUCAGUAGGCAUAAUCUUCUCAGUUUUAAGGGUGUUCAAUGCAAGUAAAACGACUCCAAUAAGGCCUUGAACAUAAUCAGAAGGUUUUGGGCAUCCUGGAGCUCCCCACACACCAUUGAGAGGUCCAUUACUGCUAUUUGCUAUAGAUGACGGUGGUGGAAUCUCAGGGCUGGAAUGUGGAUGCCUGUUUACCUCUUUUUCAACAUAAAAUGGUGUUUUCUUCUGCAAAUUGUGUCCUUUAUGAGGCCCAUUUGUAUUUGUAUAAGAAUUCUCAAUGUUAGGAGGUUGUCUUGAUUCUCCAUUCCACGUUUGAGAAAAAGGACGAUUAUGACCAUUAGUGGAGUUUUCAUUGACUUUUAGCUUACCCAUAUCAGGCAUAGAUAUUUGAGGGCCUGAGGUGUAGCCAAUUGCAUCAGACCUAGGAGGCAUUGAAUGUGAAUGAUGCACAUGCGAAUUAGGUGGUAAGAAAUUACCAGGUGGAAUUAUCGGUGAUACUGGGAGGUUGUUUGGCCUUCCUGGAGGAUAAUUGUUUUGAUAAUUGUUCUGUGAGUUGUUUCCAUUCGUCCAGGAUGCCUCAGGAUUACCAGGAACACCGCUCGGUACAGGCCCACUGAAAGGAGUUCUUGAAUUAUGAGCUCCAGGCAACUCCACUGAAUCAUUGAACUGCUUAGGAUAUCCAUAUCCUGGUUGAUGAAAGUUUGCAGCACUAUGAUUUUCUUGUGUGCCAGAUGAAGUUCGUGAUAUAUUGGGUUGAUUCACACUUCUACGAACUGGUUUGCCCUUCUGCUUAAUAUCUGUACCCCUUCCCAAAUUGUUAAACUUCAUUUGUGGGUUUUCAUGGAAAGUGUCAAGCUGGUUUAUCAGACUGGAGUCACUAGAUGACGUUGAUAAUGUGUCUAAAGUGGGUAAAGAACCGUAGCUGCUAUUAACAAGUUGACUUGAUUCACUAUUUGUGAGUGGAGGUCCUCCAGAUGAAAGGCUUGUCCAAAGCCAUACAGUCUUCGCAGCAGCAACAAGGGGAACAGAAGCUUUUUGAGGUUGUGCGAGAAGAAUAUUAUAUCUGCGCAUGCGCAAUUGAUGAAGUGCGUUUGAAAAAUCACGAUCUCCCGAAAUCAACAAAUAGUUAGCAGGUGCAGGAUUGUCAACUGCCCAGAAUAACAUGUCCACAAGAAUCUUCUUAUCACUUGCAUCUUUAACACCUGCAGGAACGUGAUUAAGGCCGAUUCCAGUACUAUUAAGCGCCUGUUGAACAGAAGAAGCGAUCUUAGUUGUAUCACCGUAAGCGGAAAUAGAAACCGGUCCACAGUAGUUCAUAUUCACAAGCGCAGAACUUAUAUUCUGAGCGAUCGCAUGAGGAUCAGAUCCUCUAGGCACUUGACAGUUUUCUAUAUCCCACCAUACCGAAAUCCUCGCCGCCGAGUACAGCGCCUCAGCCGCACCCGACGGCUGCGGCCCUCCCCCUCCGCCGUUCCCGUUUCCGCCUGCACCACCCAUUUCCUACGAGUUGCCGUUGCCGGAGAAGAAAUGGCGCACGUUAGCGAAUUCCGAUGUGUAAAAUUUAGUCUUUUUAUGUAUGUCUGGUGCGUAAGGUUAGUUGAGGAGUGCGUAGGAUUAG